RNAcentral lists this ribosomal RNA (253 nucleotides) under uncultured bacterium. RNAcentral describes it as "partial 16S ribosomal RNA". It matches the Rfam family "Bacterial small subunit ribosomal RNA", at positions 524 to 776 of the family's 1533-position model. The record is from RNAcentral.
CACGUAGGGUGCGAGCGUUGUCCGGAUUUACUGGGCGUAAAGAGCGCGCAGGCGGUCGUUCAAGUCGAGUGUGAAAGCCCCCGGCUCAACUGGGGAGGGUCACUCGAUACUGAUCGACUCGAAGGCAGAAGAGGGAAGCGGAAUUCCCGGUGUAGUGGUGAAAUGCGUAGAUAUCGGGAGGAACACCAGUGGCGAAGGCGGCUUUCUGGUCUGCUCUUGACGCUGAGGCGCGAAAGCUAGGGUAGCAAACGGG